CCUACGGGCGGCAGCAGUGGGGAAUAUUGGACAAUGGGCGAAAGCCUGAUCCAGCCAUGCCGCGUGUGUGAAGAAGGCCUUCGGGUUGUAAAGCACUUUCAGUGGGGAAGAAAGCCUUGGGGCUAAUACCCUCGAGGAAGGACAUCACCCACAGAAGAAGCACCGGCUAACUCCGUGCCAGCAGCCGCGGUAAUACGGAGGGUGCGAGCGUUAAUCGGAAUUACUGGGCGUAAAGCGCGCGUAGGCGGUCUGAUAAGCCGGUUGUGAAAGCCCCGGGCUCAACCUGGGAACGGCAUCCGGAACUGUCAGGCUAGAGUGCAGGAGAGGAAGGUAGAAUUCCCGGUGUAGCGGUGAAAUGCGUAGAGAUCGGGAGGAAUACCAGUGGCGAAGGCGGCCUUCUGGACUGACACUGACGCUGAGGUGCGAAAGCGUGGGUAGCAAACAGGAUUAGAUACCGUGUAGUC
Molecule: ribosomal RNA, 464 nt
Filed under: Vreelandella stevensii
Lineage: Bacteria; Pseudomonadati; Pseudomonadota; Gammaproteobacteria; Oceanospirillales; Halomonadaceae
Description: partial 16S ribosomal RNA
Rfam family: Bacterial small subunit ribosomal RNA
Source: RNAcentral